ACCGGGGUCUCCGCCGCGUGGCAUGAGCGGAGAUGGCGAGGGCCGAGCAGGGCCUGACUUGCAGACCCUCGGAGGGCUGGCGGGGAGUCCGCUGUCCUGCUCGAUAAGCUUCUGGAGCACACCUCGACAUGUCACCAGACCAAAGGGUGCCGUCCCGGGUUUUUUGGAAAUGCGACGUGUAUUGUUGGGUGGGUCACCCGGAGGCGACAACCUGCAUCUGGUUCGCAAUCUCUUCUUUGUGAUCCCUGAGCCCUCCUGCCCCCCCACCCCCCUUUAAAAGCUCAUGAUUUUUCAGAUAGUUUCAGAAGGAAGGAAACAAAGUACCCAUGAUUACAAGUCUGGAAGGCUUAACUCACCUAGAAAAUGUUUUAAAAGUGGGCGGGGGGGGGAGGAGUAAGGGGAAAGCAGCCCCUGCAAUCGGAGCUGUGUCUCCUCUGUAGGGGUGGGUCUCUGAAACUUUUCCUUCGGAAGAAAAAGGCAGAAGAGGAGACAGGGCAGAGGAUCCCUGAAGGAGAUCGAAUGCAAAAGGCGGUAGUUGGCGAUUGGUGCUGUGAGGAGCCCAGCCCAGCCCAGCCCAGCCCAGCGGGUGCCAGUGGGAACCGUUGGUCCAUGAAGCGGAAAGGGCCAGAAUGGUUCUCAAGAGCUGUCGAGCCCAGUAACAAUUACACAUUCCAUGUGGAGCAAAACAGUAUGGCAAAGAACAGAUAAAACCGCAUCACCACCGAUUUAAAACUCUAGGGAGGAAAGUAAAGAACUUAAGGGCUCAGAUGGUGUUUCAAGGAAAAGCAUUAGGAAAAGAACCAACAGCAACAAGGAAGGCCUGCCUAACAACAUCCAAGGAGGAGGCCCAGAUUAUCUCCUUUCAACAGAGAGGGAAUCUCUGCAAGGAGCCCUGCACCUGUGCCCAAACCAAAAGGCUGUCAGAAGGAAAUAGAUUAGCUUGGCUGGCUCCGCUGAUUUUAUCUGAAAUCAUCUUUAUCUUUAUUGUCCCGAAUUCCUCCACAACUGAGAUGAGCCUACUUGGGAGAAAUUUCACCCAACGCCUUGACCAUCUC
Python bivittatus (Burmese python) is the source of this 1055-nucleotide non-coding RNA. NCBI's taxonomy places the organism in Eukaryota, Metazoa, Chordata, Lepidosauria, Squamata, Pythonidae. The record is from RefSeq and is a predicted model, not a curated record.